This is a non-coding RNA of Schistosoma rodhaini, 45 nucleotides long. Lineage: Eukaryota; Metazoa; Platyhelminthes; Trematoda; Strigeidida; Schistosomatidae. The record is from Rfam.
AUCCAGCUGACGAGUCUCAAACAGGACGAAACGCGCGUCCUGGAU